This 500-nucleotide ribosomal RNA is filed under the name uncultured Glomeromycotina. RNAcentral describes it as "partial small subunit ribosomal RNA". It matches the Rfam family "Eukaryotic small subunit ribosomal RNA", at positions 591 to 1092 of the family's 1831-position model. Lineage: Eukaryota; Fungi; Glomeromycota. The record is from RNAcentral.
CCAAUAGCGUAUAUUAAAGUUGUUGCAGUUAAAAAGCUCGUAGUUGAAUUUUAGGCCUGGCCGGGCGGUCCGUCUUUGGCGAGUACUGUCCUGUGUCGGGUCCACCUUCUGGUGAACCAGUAUGUCCUUUAUUGGGUGUGCCGGGGAGCCAGGACCAUUACCUUGAAAAAAUUAGAGUGUUUAAAGCGGGCAUUUGCUUGAAUAGAUUAGCAUUGAAUAAUAGAAUAGGACGUUGUGGUUCUAUUUUGUUGGUUUCUAGGACCAACGUAAUGAUUAAUAGGGAUAGUUGGGGGCAUUAGUAUUCAAUUGUCAGAGGUGAAAUUCUUGGAUUUAUUGAAGACUAACUAUUGCGAAAGCAUUUGCCAAGGAUGUUUUCAUUAAUCAAGAACGAAAGUUAGGGGAUCGAAGACGAUCAGAUACCGUCGUAGUCUUAACCAUAAACUAUGCCGACUAGGAAUCAGACGAUGUUAAUUUUUUAAUGACUCGUUUGGCACCUUACG